Molecule: long non-coding RNA, 352 nt
Filed under: Mytilus galloprovincialis (Mediterranean mussel)
Lineage: Eukaryota; Metazoa; Mollusca; Bivalvia; Mytilida; Mytilidae
Source: RNAcentral
CGAAAAUGUUAAUUAAAAUUUACAAAUUUUAUGAAAAUUGUUAAAAAUUGACUUUAAAGGGCAAUAACUCCUUAUGGGGUCAAUUGACCAUUUAGGUCAUGUUGACUUAUUUUUAAGUCUUACUUUGCUGUACAUUGUUGCUCUUUACAGUUUAUCUCUAUCUAUAAUAAUACUCAAGAUAAUAACAAAAAACGACGAAAUUUCCUUAAAAUGACUAAUUCAGGGGCAUCAACCAAACAGCGGUUUGUCCGAUCCAUCUGAAAAUUUCAUGGCAGAUAGAUCUUGACCUGAUAAACAAUUUUACUCCCUGUUAGAUUUGCUCUAAAUGCUUUGGUUUUUGAGUUAUAAGCCA